This 240-nucleotide ribosomal RNA is filed under the name uncultured bacterium. RNAcentral's name for it is "partial 16S ribosomal RNA". It matches the Rfam family "Bacterial small subunit ribosomal RNA", at positions 524 to 763 of the family's 1533-position model. The record is from RNAcentral.
UACGUAGGUGGCAAGCGUUGUCCGGAUUUACUGGGUGUAAAGGGCGUGCAGCCGGGAAGACAAGUCAGAUGUGAAAUCCCGCGGCUCAACCGCGGAACUGCAUUUGAAACUGUUUUUCUUGAGUACCGGAGAGGUCAUCGGAAUUCCUUGUGUAGCGGUGAAAUGCGUAGAUAUAAGGAAGAACACCAGUGGCGAAGGCGGAUGACUGGACGGCAACUGACGGUGAGGCGCGAAAGCGUG